AAGUCGUAACAAGGUUUCCGUAGGUGAACCUGCGGAAGGAUCAUUACAAAUCGGUCUGGUUGGCUGGUGGGGGGAGUGUGGGGCAGUAGUGAGUGAGUGAGUGAGUGAGAAAUCAUCAUAUCGCUUGCAUAGCCCACGCACCCACCUGCCGCUUUCCUACAUAUGCACAAGGUCGAAGGAUCUUGAUGUUUACGCUUGAAUGUUUGACAAAUUCAUUUUACGGUUAUAAAAGAUACAACUUUUAACAAUGGAUCUCUUGGCUCUU
Molecule: unclassified non-coding RNA, 265 nt
Filed under: fungal sp.
Lineage: Eukaryota; Fungi
Description: partial contains small subunit ribosomal RNA, internal transcribed spacer 1, and 5.8S ribosomal RNA
Rfam family: Eukaryotic small subunit ribosomal RNA (bases 1-46)
Source: RNAcentral